GAUGAACGCUGGCGGCGUGCCUAACACAUGCAAGUCGAACGGAGAUUACGGACGGAAGUUUUCGGAUGGAAGACUGUAAUUCUUAGUGGCGGACGGGUGAGUAACGCGUGGGCAACCUGCCCUAUACAGGGGGAUAGCAGCUGGAAACGGCUGGUAAGACCGCAUAAGUCGGUUAAAUCGCAUGAUUUGAUCGGGAAAUGAGCAAUCAGGUAUAGGAUGGGCCCGCGUCCGAUUAGCCAGUUGGCAGGGUAAAAGCCUACCAAAGCGACGAUCGGUAGCCGGACUGAGAGGUCGGACGGCCACAUUGGGACUGAGACACGGCCCAAACUCCUACGGGAGGCAGCAGUGGGGGAUAUUGCACAAUGGAGGAAACUCUGAUGCAGCGACGCCGCGUGAGUGAAGAAGUAUUUCGGUAUGUAAAGCUCUAUCAGCAGGGAAGAUGAUGACGGUACCUGACUAAGAAGCCCCGGCUAACUACGUA
RNAcentral lists this ribosomal RNA (481 nucleotides) under uncultured bacterium. RNAcentral describes it as "partial 16S ribosomal RNA". It matches the Rfam family "Bacterial small subunit ribosomal RNA", at positions 28 to 507 of the family's 1533-position model. The record is from RNAcentral.